Cynoglossus semilaevis (tongue sole) is the source of this 1474-nucleotide long non-coding RNA. RefSeq lists it as uncharacterized. The transcript is spliced from 5 exons. NCBI's taxonomy places the organism in Eukaryota, Metazoa, Chordata, Actinopteri, Pleuronectiformes, Cynoglossidae. The record is from RefSeq and is a predicted model, not a curated record.
UCCAGAGGAAAAGAAAAGGAAAGCUUUUCACAUGAAUGUUGCAUUGUAACAAACAAAAGGAAUUAUGUCAUCAUUCCUUUUUUUAAAUGUCAAACUCUUUUAUGUUGGAUGAUACUGGCCACAAAAAACAAAGCAUUAAAUGUAGCUAUUUAAACAAACCUAUGCCUAUGACAGAUCAAUGUUGUUUACAGUAUAUGGUUUACUAAGCUUUGAUUAAUGUCUUCAUAUUGUAUAUACAGUGUGUUAAAAUAAUGACUUCUCAGUUUGAUAAUCGGGCACAAAUUAAGUUUGUCCUAGUAGAAUUGCCGUUAUUAGCUGUCAAAGAUGGGGUCCACGUACGCAUGCGUAUAUGGCAGCGACGAACAACGCACAGGAGACGCACUCGAAAAUUAAGUUUUCUCAGAAGUUUUGGCAGUGAACGAGGUGAAAAUUGAGCCCCAGUCUGCAGAUAGGAUCACAACAAAAAGGCUGCGUCACAGAGGGUUGCCAGAGAUGACUCACAGUGUUUGUUCUGAGCUGUGGGAUGACGAGUGAAGUGUCAAAAGCAGCUGAUGUGUAAGCCCUUAUGCCACCACAGCAGUCGUCCACUUGGUAUUUCAGCAGAGUUUUACACCAAAUGCCGUUCCUGACGCAGCCCUCCUGACCAGGGUGGUGAGGUGGGAGUAGUUAGAACCCAGCACCUUCUGUCUGACAGGCGAGACGUGCUACCGCUGCUCCACCGCUGCUCCACCGUAGCUCCCUCAGAGGACACAGAGCCUUUGCAGAGAACAUCCCCAAUUCCCCGAGCGGAGACAAACUGCUGUAAGUGCAGCACUAUUUUAUGUAACAGAAAUUCUACCCUGAGACCAAAAGCAUACAGACUUUAAAACAAGAGUUCUGGGUCCAGUUACCUUCAUGUUACCUCCUGUUUUUUUUCACGUAAAGAAAACUUAAAGGAGCAUUUGUGUCUUAAAUUUGAUGUUGUUAUUGUUGUGAUUGGAUUAUUUCUCUGGCUUUUUUCUUCAGGGACAAACCUAAGGUUUCUUUGUUUGUGCAUUUGUUUUUAUCAGUAUUUGUUUUAUCUGGAACCUGAGAUUCAAUCAUUCAUUUUUUCAAAUAAUUGUUUGUUGAAUAUCCACCAUUGAGCUAAUUCAACUCAUUCUCAGUUGUCUGUCCCUCGACUGACUCCAGAAACCAGAGAAAGUCUUUACAGACGGUUUGGUCUGCCGGGUGUUACACAGAGGGUUGAGUCCACAGUGGCUCCGUCAGCCACGGACGAAGAAACCUACGGUUGUUGUUAUUGUUCUUGUUAGUCUAUUGUUAGAACCGAUGUACAGUUUUUCCAGCCUGGCUCUUGUUAACCCUCCAUCAGUGACCCUCACCCACGACUACUGCCUUGCCACUGGGUGAAGCCUCCUCCACAAAUUGGUGAGGUCACACAGUCUCCUCCUCUCAGUGUCGAUAUCGUUGACAUAAGCAUUUAUGGAAAUAAACU